GCAGCAGCAAGCGGCCCUGAUGGCAUCAGUCGCGCAGGGCGGCUACCUGAACCCCAUGGCUGCCUUCGCUGCCGCCCAGAUGCAGCAGAUGGCGGCCCUCAACAUGAAUGGCCUGGCGGCCGCACCUAUGACCCCAACCUCAGGUGGCAGCACCCCUCCGGGCAUCACUGCACCAGCCGUGCCUAGCAUCCCAUCCCCCAUUGGGGUGAAUGGCUUCACCGGCCUCCCCCCACAGGCCAAUGGGCAACCUGCUGCGGAAGCUGUGUUCGCCAAUGGCAUCCACCCCUACCCAGCGCAGAGCCCCACCGCCGCGGACCCCCUGCAGCAGGCCUACGCCGGAGUGCAGCAGUAUGCAGGUCGUUAGUAUCCACGCGUCCCCACGGCUCCUUCCCCAACUCCGUUUAUCUCUCCACACCUGUGACACCAGUGCCCCCUCAGACCUGGGGCCAGCACUGCAUGGGGUGGGGAGAGAGAGUGGAAAGAGGGGGGGCCGUGCUGGCAGAGACCCUCCAGGCUGCCUUCUUGUCAGCGGGCCACCGAGAGUGCCCCUUCAGUGGGGUUGGGCAGAACUUCAGGCAAGUGGGCAGGCCAGGUGGAAGUUUCACCCUUGCUGGGCAGUUACCUGUCUUUGAGGCCAGAUUUCCCUUCCCCAAGGAGCUUCCAGGGCCACUUUGC
Molecule: small RNA, 675 nt
Filed under: Pongo abelii (Sumatran orangutan)
Lineage: Eukaryota; Metazoa; Chordata; Mammalia; Primates; Hominidae
Description: retained intron
Source: RNAcentral